RNAcentral lists this unclassified non-coding RNA (275 nucleotides) under Hevea brasiliensis (rubber tree). The record is from RNAcentral. Lineage: Eukaryota; Viridiplantae; Streptophyta; Magnoliopsida; Malpighiales; Euphorbiaceae.
GCCACUCGGCCCGCAUAUGCGGCCACGCGAACGGCAGGACGAUCAGGCAGGCGAAGGCCCAGCGCAGAAAGGACAGCGCCAUGGGCGGAAAAUCAGCCGCGAUGAAACGUCCCAGCACGAUGUUGCCCGCCCAGAACAGGGACGACAGGGACAGCAGCAGAUAGGGCCUGUUCAUGAGCCAUGAUGUCGCGGAUCGCGGGGCGGGAUCGUUCAUGUCGAUGGCGGAUUAUUGGCUUUGCAGGGAAGGUCGGGGCUGACCGGAAUUAUUUGGGGAU